UACGUAGGUGGCAAGCGUUGUCCGGAUUUACUGGGCGUAAAGAGCGCGCAGGCGGUCGUGCAAGUCGCGUGUGAAAGCCCCCGGCUCAACUGGGGAGGGUCACGCGAUACUGCUCGACUCGAAGGCAGGAGAGGGAAGUGGAAUUCCCUGUGUAGUGGUGAAAUGCGUAGAUAUCAGGAGGAACACCGGUGGUGUAGACGGCUUUCUGGACCGUAACUGACGCUGAAACACGAAAGCGUGGGUAGCAAACAGG
RNAcentral lists this ribosomal RNA (253 nucleotides) under uncultured bacterium. RNAcentral describes it as "partial 16S ribosomal RNA". It matches the Rfam family "Bacterial small subunit ribosomal RNA", at positions 524 to 776 of the family's 1533-position model. The record is from RNAcentral.